AAUAGAUACCCAGGUAGUCCACGCCGUAAACGAUGAGUGCUAAGUGUUAGAGGGUUUCCGCCCUUUAGUGCUGAAGUUAACGCAUUAAGCACUCCGCCUGGGGAGUACGGCCGCAAGGCUGAAACUCAAAGGAAUUGACGGGGGCCCGGCACAAGCGGUGGAGCAUGUGGUUUAAUUCGAAGCAACGCGAAGAACCUUACCAGGUCUUGACAUCCUCUGACAACCCUAGAGAUAGGGCUUCUCCUUCGGGAGCAGAGUGACAGGUGGUGCAUGGUUGUCGUCAGCUCGUGUCGUGAGAUGUUGGGUUAAGUCCCGCAACGAGCGCAACCCUUGAUCUUAGUUGCCAUCAUUCAGUUGGGCACUCUAAGGUGACUGCCGGUGACAAACCGGAGGAAGGUGGGGAUGACGUCAAAUCAUCAUGCCCCUUAUGACCUGGGCUACACACGUGCUACAAUGGACGGUACAAAGAGCUGCAAAGCCGCGAGGUGGAGCUAAUCUCAAUAAAACCCGUUCUCAGUUCGGA
Molecule: ribosomal RNA, 523 nt
Filed under: uncultured bacterium
Lineage: Bacteria
Description: bacterial SSU rRNA
Rfam family: Bacterial small subunit ribosomal RNA
Source: RNAcentral